UACGUAGGGAGCAAGCGUUGUCCGGAAUCAUUGGGCGUAAAGCGCGUGUAGGCGGCUUGGUAAGUCUGCUCUGAAAGCCCGGGGCUCAACCCCGGGAGGCGGGUGGAUACUGCUGAGCUCGAGUCCGGAAGAGGCGAGUGGAAUUCCUGGUGUAGCGGUGAAAUGCGUAGAUAUCGGGAGGAACACCUGUGGCGAAGGCGGCCCCCUGGUUGGAUACUGACGCUGAUACGCGAAAGCGUGGGGGGCAAACAGG
Molecule: ribosomal RNA, 253 nt
Filed under: uncultured bacterium
Lineage: Bacteria
Description: partial 16S ribosomal RNA
Rfam family: Bacterial small subunit ribosomal RNA
Source: RNAcentral